GAACCAGACUCCUACGGGAGGCAGCAGUGAGGAAUAUUGGUCAAUGGGCUUACGCCUGAACCAGCCAAGUCGCGUGAGGGAAGACUGCCCUAUGGGUUGUAAACCUCUUUUGUCAGGGAGCAACGCCGGCUACGUGUAGCCGGACUGAGAGUACCUGAAGAAAAAGCAUCGGCUAACUCCGUGCCAGCAGCCGCGGUAAUACGGAGGAUGCGAGCGUUAUCCGGAUUUAUUGGGUUUAAAGGGUGCGUAGGCGGAUUUUUAAGUCAGCGGUAAAAUGUCCGGGCUCAACCCGGGCCGGCCGUUGAAACUGGGGAUCUAGAGUGUGCGAGAGGUAUGCGGAAUGCGUGGUGUAGCGGUGAAAUGCAUAGAUAUCACGCAGAACCCCGAUUGCGAAGGCAGCAUACCGGUGCACAACUGACGCUCAGGCACGAAAGCGUGGGUAUCGAACAGGAUUAGAUACCCUCGUAC
This 468-nucleotide ribosomal RNA is filed under the name uncultured bacterium. Its description in RNAcentral is "bacterial SSU rRNA". It matches the Rfam family "Bacterial small subunit ribosomal RNA", at positions 328 to 793 of the family's 1533-position model. The record is from RNAcentral.